AGAGUUUGAUCAUGGCUCAGGAUGAACGUUGGCGGUGUGCCUAAUACAUGCAAGUCGAACGGAGUUAAUAGCAAUAUUGACUUAGUGGCGAACGGGUGAGUAACGCGUUGGUGAUCUGCCUCGAAGUGUGGAAUAACGUUCCGAAAGGAUCGCUAAUACCGCAUGUGCUCUCGAUUUUUAGAAAGUUGAGAGUAAAGGAUUUAUUCGCUUCGAGAGGAGCCUGCGUCCCAUCAGCUGGUUGGUAGGGUAACGGCCUACCAAGGCUAUGACGGGUAGGGGACCUGAGAGGGUGGCCCCCCACAAUGGAACUGAAACACGGUCCAUACACCUACGGGUGGCAGCAGUAGGGAAUAUUAGAAAUGGACGAAAGUCUGAUCUAGCAACACCGCGUGUGCGAAGAAGGCCUUCGGGUCGUAAAGCACUUUUUGGAAGGAAUAGGAAGGAAUGUACUUCCAGAAUAAGUCUCGGCUAACUACGUGCCAGCAGCCGCGGUAACACGUAGGAGGCAAACGUUAUCCGGAUUUACUGGGCGUAAAGCGCGUGUAGGUGGUACUGUAAGUAGGGCGUGAAAGCUCCCGGCUCAACUGGGAGAGGCCGUUCUAAACUGCAGAACUAGAGGAUGGUAGAGGGAGGUGGAAUUCCAGGUGUAGCGGUGGAAUGCGCAGAUAUCUGGAGGAACACCAGUGGCGAAGGCGGCCUCCUGGACCAUUCCUGACACUCAGACGCGAAAGCUAGGGUAGCAAACGGGAUUAGAGACCCCGGUAGUCCUAGCCCUAAACGAUGUAGACUAGGCGUCGGUGGUUUAAUCACCAUCGGUGUCCAAGCUAACGCGAUAAGUCUACCGCCUGGGGACUACGGCCGCAAGGUUAAAACUCAAAGGAAUUGACGG
This 889-nucleotide ribosomal RNA is filed under the name Chloroflexi bacterium enrichment culture clone B312145. Its description in RNAcentral is "bacterial SSU rRNA". It matches the Rfam family "Bacterial small subunit ribosomal RNA", at positions 8 to 916 of the family's 1533-position model. The record is from RNAcentral. Lineage: Bacteria; Bacillati; Chloroflexota.